ACUCCUACGGGAGGCAGCAGUGGGGAAUAUUGGACAAUGGGGGAAACCCUGAUCCAGCAAUGCCGCGUGAGUGAUGAAGGCCUUAGGGUUGUAAAGCUCUUUUACCCGGGAUGAUAAUGACAGUACCGGGAGAAUAAGCCCCGGCUAACUCCGUGCCAGCAGCCGCGGUAAUACGGAGGGGGCUAGCGUUGUUCGGAAUUACUGGGCGUAAAGCGCGCGUAGGCGGCUUUGUAAGUUAGAGGUGAAAGCCCGGGGCUCAACCCCGGAAUUGC
Molecule: ribosomal RNA, 272 nt
Filed under: uncultured bacterium
Lineage: Bacteria
Description: partial 16S ribosomal RNA
Rfam family: Bacterial small subunit ribosomal RNA
Source: RNAcentral